This 322-nucleotide ribosomal RNA is filed under the name uncultured eukaryote. RNAcentral's name for it is "partial 18S ribosomal RNA". It matches the Rfam family "Eukaryotic small subunit ribosomal RNA", at positions 1470 to 1796 of the family's 1831-position model. The record is from RNAcentral.
CCCUUAGAUGUUCUGGGCCGCACGCGUGCUACACUGAGUGGAUCAGCGGGUCAGGUUGCGCGAAAGCGUUUCCUAAUCUUGAAAUCCGCUCGUGAUGGGGAUUGACGGUUGCAAUUUUCUGUCAUGAACGAGGAAUACCUUGUAAGCGCGAGUCAUCAUCCCGCGCUGAAUACGUCCCUGCCCUUUGUACACACCGCCCGUCGCUCCUACCGAUUGAGUGGUCCGGUGAGGCUUUGGGAUCUGAGCGGAAAGAGCGUUUCGCUCGUUCUGCCCGGAAAACUCAGUCGAACCUUAUCAUUUAGAGGAAGGAGAAGGCGUAACA